This 497-nucleotide ribosomal RNA is filed under the name uncultured bacterium. RNAcentral's name for it is "partial 16S ribosomal RNA". It matches the Rfam family "Bacterial small subunit ribosomal RNA", at positions 28 to 507 of the family's 1533-position model. The record is from RNAcentral.
GACGAACGCUGGCGGUGUGCCUAAUACAUGCAAGUUGAGCGCUGAAGGUUGGUACUUGUACCAACUGGAUGAGCAGCGAACGGGUGAGUAACGCGUGGGGAAUCUGCCUUUGAGCGGGGGACAACAUUUGGAAACGAAUGCUAAUACCGCAUAAAAACUUUAAACACAAGUUUUAAGUUUGAAAGAUGCAAUUGCAUCACUCAAAGAUGAUCCCGCGUUGUAUUAGCUAGUUGGUGAGGUAAAGGCUCACCAAGGCGAUGAUACAUGGCCGACCUGAGAGGGUGAUCGGCCACAUUGGGACUGAGACACGGCCCAAACUCCUACGGGAGGCAGCAGUAGGGAAUCUUCGGCAAUGGACGAAAGUCUGACCGAGCAACGCCGCGUGAGUGAAGAAGGUUUUCGGAUCGUAAAACUCUGUUGGUAGAGAAGAACGUUGGUGAGAGUGGAAAGCUCAUCAAGUGACGGUAACUACCCAGAAAGGGACGGCUAACUACGUG